RNAcentral lists this unclassified non-coding RNA (330 nucleotides) under uncultured fungus. Its description in RNAcentral is "partial contains 5.8S ribosomal RNA and internal transcribed spacer 2". The stretch from base 1 to 133 matches the Rfam family "5.8S ribosomal RNA", at positions 22 to 154 of the family's 154-position model. Lineage: Eukaryota; Fungi. The record is from RNAcentral.
UGGUUCUGGCAUNGAUGAAGAACGCAGCGAAAUGCGAUAAGUAAUGUGAAUUGCAGAAUUCAGUGAAUCAUCGAAUCUUUGAACGCACAUUGCGCCCGCCAGUAUUCUGGCGGGCAUGCCUGUUCGAGCGUCAUUUCAACCCUCAAGCCCCCGGGCUUGGUGUUGGGGAUCGGCGAGCCUCUGCGCCCGCCGUCCCCUAAAUUUAGUGGCGGUCACGUUGUAACUUCCUCUGCGUAGUAGCACACUUAGCACUGGGAAACAGCGCGGCCACGCCGUAAAACCCCCAACUUUAGAAUGUUUGACCUCGAAUCAGGUAGGACUACCCGCUGA